This 440-nucleotide ribosomal RNA is filed under the name uncultured bacterium. RNAcentral describes it as "partial 16S ribosomal RNA". It matches the Rfam family "Bacterial small subunit ribosomal RNA", at positions 338 to 795 of the family's 1533-position model. The record is from RNAcentral.
ACUACGGGAGGCAGCAGUGGGGAAUAUUGCACAAUGGGGGAGACCCUGAUGCAGCGACGCCGCGUGAGUGAAGAAGUAAUUCGUUACGUAAAGCUCUAUCAGCAGGGAAGAAAAUGACGGUACCUGAGUAAGAAGCCCCGGCUAACUACGUGCCAGCAGCCGCGGUAAUACGUAGGGGGCACGCGUUAUCCGGAUUUACUGGGUAGAAAGGGAGCGUAGACGGUUCGCCAAGUCUGGAGUGAAAUGCCGCAGCUUAACUGCGGAACUGCUUUGGAAACUGGCGAACUAGAGUGCGGGAGGGGUAAGCGGAAUUCCUAGUGUAGCGGUGAAAGGCGUAGAUAUUAGGAGGAACACCGGUGGAGAAGGCGGCUUACUGGACCGUAACUGACGUUGAGGCUCGAAAGCGUGGGGAGCAAACAGGAUUAGAUACCCUUGUAGUC